CUGCCAUAACUCAGGAAGAGUUUGGACUCACAGCAAAAGUUGGUUCUACAAGGGUUAAUUUGUUGGAACUACCUUGGGGAUAGAAAUAUUUGGAAGCUCUGGAAUUCCUGCAUCUCCAAGUCCUCCCUCAAUGAAAUUGAAGAAGCACCUUUCUACCCCGUUAGAAACAAGGCUACAGAAAAGCUGUCCACUAGAUGUCACUGGUACUUCACUGAAAUAAGACUGAAAGCGCCGUGUCUGGUAGUCUUAGAGGUGAUGCACAGGUGAGUAGAAUCACUGUGCUUGCCCUGCUCAGCCCCACUCCUGUGCCUGGCCUUCACACAGAAAACACCAGUGGGCCAAGGCACGGGGCUGACCUUGGGCUUGCACACUGUGGCUUAUAGCUUAGAAUCACAGAAGAUCUCAAUUUGGAAGGGACCCAUAAGAAUUGUUGCAUCAAACUCCUGGCUCCGCCCAAGAAUCAGACCAUAUGUCUGAGGGUGUUCAAAUGCUCCUUGAGCUCUGGCAGCUCAAGGCCAUACCCACUGCCCUGGGCAGCCUGUGCCAUGCCCACCGCCCUCUGAUGCAGAACCUUCCCCUAUCCCCCACCUGACCCUCUGCUGACACAGCUUCCCUUGUAGUCUAUUGCUGUCACCAUUAGCACACACCACUCUGCUCCCCCAAAAGCUUAGGACUCCUCCCAAGCCCAUCUUAUCUGCUAGUGUUCCAGAGCACCUGAGGAUGGGUGAAUUCAAGUUACCAUGAUUUGCAGUACGGAAGCACAUUUGGGCAAAUGCUGCUAUUCCUGUGAAAGUAUUCCAGUGAUAUUCUUUUUACUAUGGUUGCUAG
This 828-nucleotide long non-coding RNA is filed under the name Coturnix japonica (Japanese quail). Its description in RNAcentral is "lncRNA (ENSCJPG00005008437.1)". The record is from RNAcentral. Lineage: Eukaryota; Metazoa; Chordata; Aves; Galliformes; Phasianidae.